Molecule: long non-coding RNA, 793 nt
Organism: Cercocebus atys (sooty mangabey)
Lineage: Eukaryota; Metazoa; Chordata; Mammalia; Primates; Cercopithecidae
Exons: 3
Source: RefSeq, a predicted model, not a curated record
GAGCAGGGGGCAGAGUGGCACAGAGAGGGUGAGCAGGGAGCGUUUCAGUGUUUUUCUCUGGGCAGGCUGAUGGUGCCUUUCUCUGGGCCUAAAAUUCCUAAAAGUUUGGUAUUUGAUUUUUUAAAAGUUCUUCCUAGUUUCUGACCCCCACACACCCACCCCCUCCAGUCCCUGGGCCCCAGUUCCUGAGACUGUGUCAGAUCCCAGCCUCUUGCCUCUGCCCAUCGGGCCCAGCCCGGGAUGCCCUGCUGUCCUGCUGUCCUUGACGUGGCGUUGCGGGGCAGGUCUGUUCCAGGAGAAGCCCCACAGCCUGCAGAACAACAUCCGGACGUCCCUGGAGAAGAAGAGGCGAGGCUCGGGGGUUCCCUGGGCCAGCCGGCCUGAGGCCACCCUGCAGGAUUUCCUGGGCACCGUGUACCUCUCUAAAGUGAAGAGUCAAGGCCACCCCGCUGUCUACAGGCUCUCCCUCAAUGCCAGCCUGCCUGCUCCUUGGCAGGCUGUGUCACCUGGGGAUGGAGAGGUGCCCUCCUUCCAGGUGUAUAGAGCGCCUUUUGGUAACUUCACCAAGAAGCUGACCGCUUGUAUGUCUACAGUAGGGCUGCUCCAGGCGGCGAGCCCCUCCCGCAAGUGGAUGCUGACGACCUUGGCCUGUGAUGCCAAGCGGGGCUGGAAGUUUGACUUCAGCUUCUACGUGGCCACCAAGGAGCAGCAGCACACCCGGUAACAAAGCCUGGCAGACAAGCCCGUGCCCAUCAGCCCGGCUGCUUCUUUUCUCUCUUUUCUCUCUCUUUUC